Molecule: ribosomal RNA, 253 nt
Filed under: uncultured bacterium
Lineage: Bacteria
Description: partial 16S ribosomal RNA
Rfam family: Bacterial small subunit ribosomal RNA
Source: RNAcentral
UACGUAGGUGGCAAGCGUUGUCCGGAUUUAUUGGGCGUAAAGCGCUCGCAGGCGGUCCGAUGCGUCGUGCGUGAAAGACCCCGGCUCAACUGGGGGAGGUCGUGCGAUACGGUCGGACUCGAGGCCAGUAGGGGGAUGCGGAAUUCCGGGUGUAGUGGUGGAAUGCGUAGAGAUCGGGAGGAACACCAGUGGCGAAGGCGACUUCCUGGCCUGUUCUUGACGCUGAGGCGCGAAAGCUAGGGUAGCAAACAGG